AGCAAGAUAAUUGCCCCAGAAGACAACAAACCGUCAUGGAGAAUACUAAUAACGCCGAGAGCCCAUUCCAGCACUCUGCCAGGAGGUCCUUCCCGUUAAAGUAAUAACAGCAGAAAUGGGAGCCUUAAAGCCUGCUGAUUUUUGACUAAGUCGUUGUCAAGGGUAAUCUGGGGCAUGUUAAAUAAGCCAUGGCUUUUAUGAAAGACGAAAAUGAUGUGAUAUCGAAAGAAUGACCUACAGGAAGUGAGCCUCUAUGCAACACCAUUCACAGUGGACCAGAUGGUUUGGGAAAUGCGAUCUCAUUGACAGGAGGACUAUCCAGUUAUUUUAACGGCAAACAUGACAAAUGGAGUUUCGCUCUUUUGCCCAGGCUGGAGUGAAGUGGCGCGAUCUCAGCUCACUGCAACCUCCGUCCCCCAGUUUUCUAUUAUUUCAUCUCAACAAGCCUUGAUUGCCUGCCUUCCAUGUGCCAGCACCUAUUUUAAAAGAAGGUCUCUAUUACUAAUCAGCCUUAGGAAUCCAGAGAUUCAACAUAAUGAGGAGCUAAAUGGAUAUUGACAGGUGACAGCGAUGAGGUUGUGUUUGCUGUGCUAGAGACCACAAACAAGCAAGGGGUUGAUCCGCCAGGCAUAUUGGUCUCAUCAUGAGUAAGAAA
Long non-coding RNA from Gorilla gorilla gorilla (western lowland gorilla), 655 nucleotides. RefSeq lists it as uncharacterized. The transcript is spliced from 6 exons. Lineage: Eukaryota; Metazoa; Chordata; Mammalia; Primates; Hominidae. The record is from RefSeq and is a predicted model, not a curated record.